GCUCCCGUAGUUUAAUGGAUAGAAUGCGUGGUUCCGGUCCUCGUGAUAGGGGUUCGAAUCCCUUCGGGAGCA
RNAcentral lists this transfer RNA (72 nucleotides) under Pedobacter ginsengisoli. It matches the Rfam family "tRNA". Rfam says of the family: Transfer RNA (tRNA) molecules are approximately 80 nucleotides in length. RNAcentral also lists the same sequence under 2 other names. The record is from Rfam by way of RNAcentral. Lineage: Bacteria; Pseudomonadati; Bacteroidota; Sphingobacteriia; Sphingobacteriales; Sphingobacteriaceae.